UAAACUCCUGUUGUUGAGGAAGAUAAUGACGGUACUCAACAAGGAAGUGACGGCUAACUACGUGCCAGCAGCCGCGGUAAAACGUAGGUCACAAGCGUUGUCCGGAAUUACUGGGUGUAAAGGGAGCGCAGGCGGGAAGACAAGUUGGAAGUGAAAUCCAUGGGCUCAACCCAUGAACUGCUUUCAAAACUGUUUUUCUUGAGUAGUGCAGAGGUAGGCGGAAUUCCCGGUGUAGCGGUGGAAUGCGUAGAUAUCGGGAGGAACACCAGUGGCGAAGGCGGCCUACUGGGCACCAACUGACGCUGAGGCUCGAAAGUGUGGGUAGCAAACAGGAUUAGAUACCCUGGUAGUCCACACUGUAAACGAUGAUUACUAGGUGUUGGAGGAUUGACCCCUUCAGUGCCGCAGUUAACACAAUAAGUAAUCCACCUGGGGAGUACGACCGCAAGGUUGAAACUCAAAGGAAUUGACGGGGGCCCGCACAAGCAGUGGAGUAUGUGGUUUAAUUCGACGCAACGCGAAGAACCUUACCAAGUCUUGACAUCCUGCGACGGUGCUGGAAACAGUAYUUUCCUUCGGGACGCAGAGACAGGUGGUGCAUGGUUGUCGUCAGCUCGUGUCGUGAGAUGUUGGGUUAAGUCCCGCAACGAGCGCAACCCUUAUGGUCAGUUACUACGCAAGAGGACUCUGGCCAGACUGCCGUUGACAAA
RNAcentral lists this ribosomal RNA (710 nucleotides) under Faecalibacterium prausnitzii. RNAcentral's name for it is "bacterial SSU rRNA". It matches the Rfam family "Bacterial small subunit ribosomal RNA", at positions 426 to 1162 of the family's 1533-position model. Lineage: Bacteria; Bacillati; Bacillota; Clostridia; Eubacteriales; Oscillospiraceae. The record is from RNAcentral.